CUCUUUCUUAGAAAAUGCUAGGUAUCUUCUACAUGAGUGAGUGAGAGACACUUCUCCUGCAAGGGAAAAGUAACAAAUAGUUUGUGUAAACGUAUAAGGAAGAUCUAAUUAAAGAUUUUUCUUAACUUGUAGUAUCUUCAUGAAAUAAGAAAGUUUGUUUUAUAUCUUUUGUCAUUCUUGUAUGUUGGUGAUAAAUGAAGGUUGCGAUCUUCAGCCUCGACGGAGGAAGGACGGCACAGUAGCCUGAGAUAGUGAGUCACAAUAGGCUAAAUAGUUCUUUAUAUCCGAAAGGAGAAACACUGAGGUGUUGAUACAAUCAAUAUAAAAGAAAUUCAAAAGAUAUAUAUAUAAACUCUAUCAUUUCAAGAAGUUAUUAACAUAAGAAAAAUCUAUCUUCAUGUCUACUUUUUGAAUUCAUACAUAUUAUAUGUUACUAAGUACCUAUAGGGAACAUAAAAUCAUGAAUUGUGCAUAUUUAUCAUCAUGAAAGUAGUACAACCACAAUUACAGAAACUUAGAAGAAAGAUUUGAGAUACCAUAAUAAUUAUAACAAGGAUUAAUAAGGCUUUACUGAAUUUAUGAAACUAUGGUAGAGAAAUCUAUAGUUUAAGGAGAAAUACUUCGAAUAAAGUUGUCAUUUCUAAAAUUAACAAAUUAGAAAAAAUACUACUUAGAGCACUAGAUAGAGACCAUGCUUUAAAAAGCAUACAGGUUAUUUUGUUGAAAAGAUACAAGGCUACGAUAAUGAAAUAUGCUCUUUAU
Molecule: long non-coding RNA, 762 nt
Filed under: Capsicum annuum
Lineage: Eukaryota; Viridiplantae; Streptophyta; Magnoliopsida; Solanales; Solanaceae
Description: long non-coding RNA (CANN_LNC013668)
Source: RNAcentral